UCCAGCUUAUCGCUGGCGGUCUCCUACGAGUCCCCGGCAUAAUCCGCUGGCAACAUAGGACAAGGGUUGCGCUCGUUGCGGGACUUAACCCAACAUCUCACGACACGAGCUGACGACAGCCAUGCACCACCUAUCGCCGGCCCUUACGGACACCGUAUCUCUACGGCUUUUCCGGCGUAGUUCAACCCAGGUAAGGUUCUUCGCGUCGCAUCGAAUUAAGCAACAUGCUCCGCCGCUUGUGCGGGCCCCCGUCAAUUUCUUUGAGUUUUAGCCUUGCGGCCGUACUCCCCAGGCGGGGCACUUAAUGCGUUAGCUACGGCACGGAGACCGUCGAUAGGUCCCCACACCUAGUGCCCAACGUUUACGGCGUGGACUAC
This 377-nucleotide unclassified non-coding RNA is filed under the name uncultured Acidimicrobiia bacterium. RNAcentral describes it as "contains 16S-23S intergenic spacer region". The record is from RNAcentral. Lineage: Bacteria; Bacillati; Actinomycetota; Acidimicrobiia.